AUUGAACGCUGGCGGCAGGCCUAACACAUGCAAGUCGAACGGUAACAGGAAACAGCUUGCUGUUUCGCUGACGAGUGGCGGACGGGUGAGUAAUGUCUGGGAAACUGCCUGAUGGAGGGGGAUAACUACUGGAAACGGUAGCUAAUACCGCAUAACGUCGCAAGACCAAAGAGGGGGACCUUCGGGCCUCUUGCCAUCGGAUGUGCCCAGAUGGGAUUAGCUAGUAGGUGGGGUAACGGCUCACCUAGGCGACGAUCCCUAGCUGGUCUGAGAGGAUGACCAGCCACACUGGAACUGAGACACGGUCCAGACUCCUACGGGAGGCAGCAGUGGGGAAUAUUGCACAAUGGGCGCAAGCCUGAUGCAGCCAUGUCGCGUGUAUGAAGAAGGCCUUCGGGUUGUAAAGUACUUUCAGCGGGGAGGAAGGGAGUAAAGUUAAUACCUUUGCUCAUUGACGUUACCCGCAGAAGAAGCACCGGCUAACUCCGUGCCAGCAGCCGCAGUAA
This 506-nucleotide ribosomal RNA is filed under the name uncultured bacterium. RNAcentral describes it as "partial 16S ribosomal RNA". It matches the Rfam family "Bacterial small subunit ribosomal RNA", at positions 30 to 523 of the family's 1533-position model. The record is from RNAcentral.